CAGCAGAUGGGAAUUUUGCACAAUGGCCGAAAGGCUGAUGCAGCAACGCCGCGUGAGUGAAGAAGGCCUUCGGGUUGUAAAGCUCUGUUGCCCGUGACGAAGGUCCAGCUCAGAAAUGGGGUGGAUUGACGGUAGCGGGAGAGGAAGCCCCGGCUAACUACGUG
Molecule: ribosomal RNA, 164 nt
Filed under: uncultured bacterium
Lineage: Bacteria
Description: partial 16S ribosomal RNA
Rfam family: Bacterial small subunit ribosomal RNA
Source: RNAcentral